This 418-nucleotide ribosomal RNA is filed under the name uncultured bacterium. Its description in RNAcentral is "bacterial SSU rRNA". It matches the Rfam family "Bacterial small subunit ribosomal RNA", at positions 356 to 772 of the family's 1533-position model. The record is from RNAcentral.
AGGGAAUAUUGGUCAAUGGGUGAGAGCCUGAACCAGCCAUGCCGCGUGCAGGAAGACGGCCUUCUGGGUUGUAAACUGCUUUUGUCAGGGGAUAAAAUUUCCUUGCGAGGAAAAUUGAAGGUACCUGGCGAAUAAGCCACGGCUAACUACGUGCCAGCAGCCGCGGUAAUACGUAGGUGACGAGCGUUGUCCGGAUUUAUUGGGUUUAAAGGGUGCGUAGGCGGCCCCCUAAGUCAGUGCUGAAAUAUCCCGGCUUAACCGGGAGGGUGGCAUUGAUACUGAGGGGCUUGAGUAAAGUCGAGGUAGGCGGAAUUGACGGUGUAGCGGUGAAAUGCUUAGAUAUCGUCAAGAACACCGAUAGUGCAGACAGCUUACUAGGCUUUAACUGACGCUGAGGCACGAAAGUGUGGGGAUCAAA